AUCCUUACACGGCAGGGGAGAUACCAUGGUCAUGCAGGUGGAUUUCCCAAGGCAAGGCUCAUUCAUUGUACUUGGGAUGUACCGACCCCUGAGAUUUCCCCAAAUGUGGGAAACUCCACUGCAUAAUUUGUGGUAUUGGGGGACUGUAUUUGCACUCUCCCCUG
Ochotona curzoniae (black-lipped pika) is the source of this 164-nucleotide small nuclear RNA. RefSeq annotates it as U1 spliceosomal RNA. NCBI's taxonomy places the organism in Eukaryota, Metazoa, Chordata, Mammalia, Lagomorpha, Ochotonidae. The transcript has a single exon. The record is from RefSeq and is a predicted model, not a curated record.